Molecule: ribosomal RNA, 460 nt
Filed under: uncultured bacterium
Lineage: Bacteria
Description: partial 16S ribosomal RNA
Rfam family: Bacterial small subunit ribosomal RNA
Source: RNAcentral
CCUACGGGAGGCAGCAGUGAGGGAUAUUGGUCAAUGGCCGUAAGGCUGAACCAGCCAAGUCGCGUGAAGGAAGAAGGAUCUAUGGUUUGUAAACUUCUUUUAUAGGGGAAUAAAGGUAUCCACGUGUGGAUAUUUGCAUGUACCCUAUGAAUAAGCAUCGGCUAACUCCGUGCCAGCAGCCGCGGUAAUACGGAGGGUGCGAGCGUUAUCCGGAUUUAUUGGGUUUAACGGGUGCGUAGGUUGUUUUUUAAGUCAGCGGUGAAAGUUUGUGGCUCAACCAUAAAAUUGCCGUUGAAACUGGAAGACUGGAGUGUGUUAGAGGCAGGCGGAAUGCGUGGUGUAGCGGUGAAAUGCAUAGAUAUCAGGCAGAACUCCGAUUGCGAAGGCAGCUUACUAAGCCAUAACUGACAUUGAGGCACGAAAGCGUGGGGAGCAAACAGGAUUAGAUACCCGAGUAGUC